GAUGAACGCUGGCGGCGUGCCUAAUACAUGCAAGUCGAGCGAACAGACGAGGAGCUUGCUCCUCUGACGUUAGCGGCGGACGGGUGAGUAACACGUGGAUAACCUACCUAUAAGACUGGGAUAACCUCGGGAAACCGGAGCUAAUACCGGAUAAUAUAUUGAACCGCAUGGUUCAAUAGUGAAAGACGGUUUUGCUGUCACUUAUAGAUGGAUCCGCGCCGCAUUAGCUAGUUGGUAUGGUAACGGCUUACCAAGGCAACGAUGCGUAGCCGACCUGAGAGGGUGAUCGGCCACACUGGAACUGAGACACGGUCCAGACUCCUACGGGAGGCAGCAGUAGGGAAUCUUCCGCAAUGGGCGAAAGCCUGACGGAGCAACGCCGCGUGAGUGAUGAAGGUCUUCGGAUCGUAAAACUCUGUUAUUAGGGAAGAACAAAUGUGUAAGUAACUAUGCACGUCUUGACGGUACCUAAUCAGAAAGCCACGGCUAACUACGUG
This 497-nucleotide ribosomal RNA is filed under the name uncultured bacterium. RNAcentral's name for it is "partial 16S ribosomal RNA". It matches the Rfam family "Bacterial small subunit ribosomal RNA", at positions 28 to 507 of the family's 1533-position model. The record is from RNAcentral.